UACAGAUUAAUUCAAUGGUAGAAUAAUGUGUUUCGGCCACAUUCAUAUAGGUUCGAAUCCUGUAUCUGUUA
This is a non-coding RNA of Cladophialophora chaetospira, 71 nucleotides long. The record is from the annotation of a GenBank genome assembly. Lineage: Eukaryota; Fungi; Ascomycota; Eurotiomycetes; Chaetothyriales; Herpotrichiellaceae.